Non-coding RNA from Leptopilina boulardi, 123 nucleotides. RefSeq annotates it as small Cajal body-specific RNA 8. The transcript has a single exon. The record is from RefSeq and is a predicted model, not a curated record. NCBI's taxonomy places the organism in Eukaryota, Metazoa, Arthropoda, Insecta, Hymenoptera, Figitidae.
UGGGAGAUAGAUACACGAGAAUUUAAUUAAUCUCGUCACGGAUUCUCCCUAAAUUAAAAAAAGCCUUCUGAUGACUGUAAAUUGUAAAGAAUUAGUUUACAGACAGAUACGAGGCUUACAUUU